Molecule: ribosomal RNA, 310 nt
Filed under: Escherichia coli
Lineage: Bacteria; Pseudomonadati; Pseudomonadota; Gammaproteobacteria; Enterobacterales; Enterobacteriaceae
Description: bacterial SSU rRNA
Rfam family: Bacterial small subunit ribosomal RNA
Source: RNAcentral
AAAUUGAAGAGUUUGAUCAUGGCUCAGAUUGAACGCUGGCGGCAGGCCUAACACAUGCAAGUCGAACGGUAACAGGAAACAGCUUGCUGUUUCGCUGACGAGUGGCGGACGGGUGAGUAAUGUCUGGGAAACUGCCUGAUGGAGGGGGAUAACUACUGGAAACGGUAGCUAAUACCGCAUAACGUCGCAAGACCAAAGAGGGGGACCUUCGGGCCUCUUGCCAUCGGAUGUGCCCAGAUGGGAUUAGCUUGUUGGUGGGGUAACGGCUCACCAAGGCGACGAUCCCUAGCUGGUCUGAGAGGAUGACCAG